Molecule: non-coding RNA, 324 nt
Organism: Egretta garzetta (little egret)
Lineage: Eukaryota; Metazoa; Chordata; Aves; Pelecaniformes; Ardeidae
Source: Rfam
UGGAAGUGAUGAAAUAGAGAUAAUUGGAUGUCUCUUUGAAUUGAAUGUGUGUGAUAAAUGGAAUUUAAACCAAGUUAAAUUGGGGGUGGGGUGUGGGGAACGUGUGUGUGCGUGUGCGCGUAUGUGUAGAAAAGGCUUUAAAUGGGGGCACUGAUAAUGCAGUGCUGAUUCCGGAGUGCAUCUGAGGCAUGUUGUUAAUUUCUGGGGUGCAGCUUUACAACAUUGCCAAUGAUUAAAGCCCAAAACAAGCCCACCAGGAAAAGCCUAGGCAUCCUAAAUCUCUAACAGGUUCAUUAAUGAAAGUGAUCCUGUGAUCUGAUCUGA